CAGGGAUAAACUUGGCGAAACGUAACAAAACUGUCAACGCGAUACAAAUAGGGCCUAAACAAAAAUUUUCUAUGGGACGAGACAAAUACGAAACGAACGAAUACGUAACGAAACGAAUUUUUGGACAAGAUCACAUCUUUCACAUAGUACCGGACAACUUUCCAAUCAUCGAAGACGGAAUCAUUGGGCUACCAUGUUUAGAGAAAAACCAAUACAUUUAACUCCUGGAGAAAACAGAGUUCAAACAAUCUAUCUGGAAG
RNAcentral lists this unclassified non-coding RNA (260 nucleotides) under Bombus terrestris (buff-tailed bumblebee). Its description in RNAcentral is "misc RNA ENSBTSG00005038980.1". Lineage: Eukaryota; Metazoa; Arthropoda; Insecta; Hymenoptera; Apidae. The record is from RNAcentral.